GGGCCCGUGGGGUAGCUUGGUAUCCUUGCAGCUUGGGGUGCUGUUGACUCCAGUUCAAAUCUGGACGGGCUCACC
This 75-nucleotide transfer RNA is filed under the name Candidatus Methanoplasma termitum. RNAcentral describes it as "tRNA-Pro". It matches the Rfam family "tRNA". Rfam says of the family: Transfer RNA (tRNA) molecules are approximately 80 nucleotides in length. Their secondary structure includes four short double-helical elements and three loops (D, anti-codon, and T loops). Further hydrogen bonds mediate the characteristic L-shaped molecular structure. tRNAs have two regions of fundamental functional importance: the anti-codon, which is responsible for specific mRNA codon recognition, and the 3' end, to which the tRNAs corresponding amino acid is attached (by aminoacyl-tRNA synthetases). tRNAs cope with the degeneracy of the genetic code in two manners: having more than one tRNA (with a specific anti-codon) for a particular amino acid; and 'wobble' base-pairing, i.e. permitting non-standard base-pairing at the 3rd anti-codon position. Lineage: Archaea; Methanobacteriati; Thermoplasmatota; Thermoplasmata; Methanomassiliicoccales; Methanomassiliicoccaceae. The record is from RNAcentral.